Lepisosteus oculatus (spotted gar) is the source of this 1832-nucleotide non-coding RNA. NCBI's taxonomy places the organism in Eukaryota, Metazoa, Chordata, Actinopteri, Semionotiformes, Lepisosteidae. The record is from RefSeq and is a predicted model, not a curated record.
CCCCUGCUGCCGACAUGGUGACGAGGCGAAGGUUGUGUGUGUAUAUUGGAGAUCUGGGUACUGGCUCUCGUUGGCGGCCUGUAUCUUUUGUUUUGCACCGCGGAACGUGAGCUGGGAGCGGGGGGUGUUGCUCUGAGAGAGAGAUCGGGAAGCGGUCAGGUGUUUUUGCACUUUUGUUUGCCCGCUGGGGUUAAGCGGGUCUUAAAGUGAGCUGGUUGUGGAGAUAAGAAGCCCCUGUCGUCUCCUGAAGUUUCCCCCUCCCAGCUCAGGUCCUGUUAAUGCCGUGUCUGGAAACUGAAAGGCGGCUCAGUGGAUGAAGUGGAUGAAGCGGAUUUACCUGUCGAGGGCACCCAGGUUGGGGUCUAAUUAAGCCCCCCCAGGAUUUCUGAUGAGGCCUCAUCUUUCAGAGCAAGAAAAGGUGUUGAACAGGCCUCCUCUGAUAAUUUCAGUGCUACAGGGCCCAGGAUGAGGGUGCCAGUUGAACAGGAACAUGCUGCCGUUCACACUUGUCUGAUCUGUGGCCUGUUCAAAGCAUUGCUCUGUUGUGUAAAGCCUGCCGGACACUACAACAGGGGGUCUCGCAGUCUGGGCCUUCCUGCAGCUCACAGAACCCUGGUUCCUCGGGCCUGAGCGCCGGUUAGGAUCAAGAGCAGUUGGGUCCACUGUCUCUAUUCUGCAGCACAGCUGGAUUUGAAUGCAAUGCAUUGCACUCCUAGACCGCCAAGCAUUCCUUCAACAAUGCCGUCUGGCUCCGAGUGUCUUGCGACAACCGAUUGCAAAGCAGGCGCUGUUUCGCUGUUUGCAGAUCUGUUGUGCUGCAUUGGAUGAAACACCGCUGGUCUCGCUACUACUAUUGCACCAGCAGGGCAGGCCGCAAGCGACAGGGCUCAGGGGGCGAGUGCUGCCGUUUCUCUGUUGUUGUGGCAAGUGGCUGCCCCUCUACCGGGAAACGUGAGCGAAUUGCGUUUGAAGAUUUGUAAGGGGGGAGGGCAGCGGCCUCUACGUGUCACCCCUCAGCAAUGGGCCUCCGAACGCUGCGCAACGCAAAAUUCGCUCCCCCCUGCUCAGCGCCUGUUUGGCAGUGGGUUGUCGCGAGACUCUCGGAGCCAGAAAGCAUCGUUGAAGGAACUGUCGGCGGUCUAGACAGGAAAGGGAGAGGACUGCGCCAAGCAGGAGGGAAAAGGAAAGGAACCACAAGAGCCAUUUCUCCUGUGAGAGCUGGCCAGUGUCCCUGACUGGGGGGCUCACCUCCCCAUGCUCCGCCGCACAUCAGCUCCACCUCCACUGGUCACAAAGCCACGAUUCUCCAACGCAAAACUCCGUCCCUCCAACAGACGGCAUGGGAAUCUCCACGGGAACCUUCUUUGACUUCCCUGACCCCCCAAACAAUUUUCCCACCUCAGCAUUCCAAGCCACGGAAAUCACUAAUCAGAAAGAUCUGGAAGAGCCCAGAGAUGGGGAUAAUGCAAUACUGCCGAAUAGGAAGCUUUUAUUAAUCUCGGCGUAAUGGGCUUUCAAGAUUUUUUCUAACUAUUGAAAAACGGAGACUGGAGAUCCUUAUACUUGCACUCUCAAAUACAGUCACACCCACACACAGAGCCUAUCUGCGCCCUGUUUAAGUGGAAAAAAACCUCUGGCAGGCAGAGAGCCGGUAUUACAAUGUACUAACAGGGAUGUGUGGCGAAUUGAUUUUCCUGGGCUUUCAAGGUUAGUGAGGAAAUGCUAUCAAAGGCUACAUAAAUGAAUUAUAUAUCCUCCCACUGUGAAAGGUGGAUUUACAUAAGCCUGUUAAGCUCCAUUAAAAAAAGUCUGUCAAAAAAUAAAUGCUUUGA